RNAcentral lists this unclassified non-coding RNA (570 nucleotides) under Hevea brasiliensis (rubber tree). The record is from RNAcentral. Lineage: Eukaryota; Viridiplantae; Streptophyta; Magnoliopsida; Malpighiales; Euphorbiaceae.
CUUCUUCUGUUUGUCCCUCCACCUCCUGCAUCUCCCGAAGAAUCACAUCCCGCUCCCUAUUGAUCCGGAGUUCAUCAAAGCUCGAAUUCUGCAAGAUAUCUGCGAGGAUCGUGAGCGCCUGAUUGACGUCCUUGUCCAUCACCUUGGCAUAAUAAGUGGUCUGCUCCCGUGAGGUAUAAGCAUUCAGAUGCGCCCCGAUGUUCUCGAUCCCCUCCUCCAGCUGCCGUGCCGUCCGAUCCUUCGUCCCCUUGAAGAUCAUAUGCUCGAGAAAAUGAGCUGUACCGUUGGUCUCAUCGGUCUCGAACCGGCUGCCAGCGUCGAUCCAGACGCCGACGGUGGCGGUGCGGGCGGCGAGGGAGGAUUCGGUGGCGAUGCGGAGGCCGUUGGGGAGGGUGGUGACGCGGGUCAUCGGGGCGGAGAGGAUCGGGGUGUGAUCGGCGAGGGUGGGGUGGGGGGAGGCAUAGCGGAGGAAGCGGGGAUCGGGAUCGUCGAGGCGCUUGAUCUUGGAUUUGACAACCUCAACGAGGCGGUCGUAGAGCAUUACAGGGGGGCGGGUGGGGAUGGAGGGGG